UGCUGUGUGUUCACUGACUGCUGUGGCCUCCUUUCCGCAGAGGACAAGUAGACGGACUCCCGAGGCCCAAGAGUGAGGAGGCGGGUGCGGAGGAGGGGGGCAAUCUUUGUUACUGCGGCAAGUCCCACCAGCCCAGGUCAGUUUGUCCUGCUUUGGUGGCGUUAAGGAUCAAACCCAGGACCUCGUGCAUGCCAGACAAGUGCGGCGCCUCGGUGUCUCCGUGCCUCGGUGCCUCGGUGCCUCGGUGCCUCGGUGUCUCGGCGCCACCCGCGCUUGACGCAAGGGGAUCCGUUCACAGGGCGCGAAAGAACAAAACCUGAGCUUGAAUAUCGACUCUGCCGCUUCCUAGGAGUUGACUUCCCCUUGAAUAUUCACAGAACAGAUUCUUCACGUGGUGGCUGAACUGUGGAGGACGGUGGGGAAGCCAUCUUGGGGCAGGGGGUGCGUGUGUAGGCCAGCGCUUUGCACUGGCUUGCUUCCAGGUUCCGUGUUGUGUUCUAGCCUCUGCGCCACACUGCCCACGCCUUCGGGAUCUGUCUGGGCGGAGAUCAUCCCAGCCGGCCUUCUAGACUCUUUCUGUUCCUUCUUGGGAGGAGGGGGCCGGGAGGGUCGUGGAGUCAGCUGCUGCGCAUCCAGGCAGCUGUAAGCUGUGCUCUAAUGGCACAGGGUCUCCCGGGGCUCUGGGAGGGGUUGGGGGCCAGAGGUGAGGAAGACCUAGAGAAGGCGGCCGCGUCUACACAGCCAUGGCCGGGAAUCGUUGUCUUCCACGCUGGUGACGGCCUUCCAUGGGAGCUACUUUACGGUCACCCAGGCUCGGGCAACAACAGUAUAAGCCCAAACCAGAGGCAGCUGGGAGGAGGGAACAUAGACCGCACUUCUCCUGGCCGAGCUGACUUUCGGUGAGUGACAUUUAGGGGGUGCUGAGUGCGAACAGGCUCCGUGUAGCCUGACCCGUCCCCCCACUUUUCCUGUUUCUAAGAAGGGCCUGGUAAAACUGCCCAAGAUGCUUUCUGAAUCCCAGGUUCCUCUCUGGAGGGCUCGGCUGCCUGAGACGGAGCGCCUACCCCCGCUCGGGUCUCUUUGUCCUUUGAUAAACUGCAGUCCGGGGUUUUUCUUGGCUGAGGCCCUGGAAGCACAGCUCGGGGAUUGUACAGCGGAGGUCUCAGUCCCAGGUGAUCAAGUUGGUAGCUAACCAGGAAGUUUGUGUUUCAAGGCCUUAGUCAACACGUGGGUGUGGAAGCUCCUACCAAUUUCAAGGCAGAGUCAACUGUUUCUAAAUAGGGACUUUCACGUUAGUCAGACUUCUCAAAACAACAUGGUAUUCAAACAAAAUUCCAUUUCCUUUCCCAUCGUGGACAGCCGUGGCUAAAGAUAUUUCUGUCCUGACCAGGGGCUUCCCCGGCCCACAUUCAGCUGGCAUGAUGUCACGGCACUCAGGGGAGGGAGGACAGCCACAUUUGGUGAGCUUGUUUUUCUUUCUCUCUCUCUUUUUCCCUUUAAAAAAAAGAUGUAUUUAUUUUAUGUAUAUGAGUGCACUGUAGCUGUCUUCAGACACCAGAAGAGGGCGUCAGAUCUCAUUACAGAUGGUUGUGAGCCACCAUGUGGUUGUUGGGAUUUGAACUCAGGACCUCUGGAAGAGCAGUCAGUGCUCUUAACCACUGAGCCAUCUCUUCAACUCUUUUUCCCUUUUCUUUCUUUCUUUCUUUCUUUCUUUCUUUCUUUCUUUCUUUCUUUCUUUCUUUCUUUCUUUCUUUCUUUCUCUCUCUCUCUCUCUCUCUCUCUCUCUCUCUCUCUUUCUUUCUUUCUGUUGUUUUUGUUUUAUUUUGUUUUGCUUUUUCGAGACAGGGUUUCUCUGUGUAGCCCUGUCCUGGAACUCACUCUGUAGAUCAGGCUGGCCUCAAACUCAGAAAUCCGCCUGCCUCUGCCUCCCAAGGGCUGGGAUUACAGGCGUGUGCCACCAUACCCGGCUUUCUUUUCUUUUCUUUUCUUUUCUUUUCCUUUCCUUUUUCCUUUUUCCUUUCCUUUUUCCUUUUUCCUUUCCUUUUUCCUCUCCUCUCCUUUCCUUUCCUUUCCUUUCCUUUCCUUUCCUUUCCUUUCCUUUCCUUUCCUUUCCUUUCCUUUCCUUUCCUUUCCUAUUUGUUGCGAACAGGGUCUUAGGCAGUUCAGUCAGUCCUCAAACCUCCUACGGGAUAGAUUUGAACUCCUAUUCUCCUGCCUCAGACUCAAGUGCUGAGAUCACAGGCAUCUGCCAUCUUGCCUGCCGGAAAUCGCUCACCCAUGAGCCUUAGCUUCCCCUCCGGCACCUCAGAAGAGCUGAAGCUGCUGGAGCAAGAGUCCUGAUGUAUUUCAUUCAUUUUGAGUCUCUGGUAGGCUGACUUCCUGAGACUCCAGCAGUGCAGGCCACAGCCUCCAAGAGGAACC
Long non-coding RNA from Apodemus sylvaticus (European woodmouse), 2421 nucleotides. RefSeq lists it as uncharacterized. NCBI's taxonomy places the organism in Eukaryota, Metazoa, Chordata, Mammalia, Rodentia, Muridae. The transcript has 3 exons. The record is from RefSeq and is a predicted model, not a curated record.